Molecule: long non-coding RNA, 552 nt
Organism: Neltuma alba
Lineage: Eukaryota; Viridiplantae; Streptophyta; Magnoliopsida; Fabales; Fabaceae
Exons: 3
Source: RefSeq, a predicted model, not a curated record
AGAAAAUAAAGACCAAAGGGCAUGAUGGUCAUUUCACAUCCCUGGUCCCUUUUAAUCUGCCAAAAACGCCUCCUCCCUUCUCAUUCUCCUUUGCUACCGACUUGAAUAGAAGGAGAAGGAACAUAGAAAGCUUGAAAGGGCGAGAGGAAGACGAGCGACCACGAGGAAGAAUCAGAGGUGUUUUCUUUGCAUGUAAGCAUGCUUUUCUGAUUAAGGAUUUGAUAUUUGUUCAAGUCCAUCAAGAAGAGAGCCAAGGAAGAAGCAGGGGGAAGCUAGUGCGGAAGAAAAAGUAAAAGCAAGAGCAAGUACUCCUAAGGGCAAGGGAGUAGUGAUCGGUGGAGUUUGAAGGUGCAGGAAGUUGGCGAUCUUUUGUAUAUAUAUUUUGCUUAAAAUGCAUCUUAUUUUAAAGUGAAGAUAUAUUGUAUAUCUAUUUUGGUAUGUAAAUAUUCCUCCAUAAGGAGGUGGCUAAGGGCAGAUAAACCAUGGUAACUACUAUUGAAGGAAAUGAUCAAUAUUUUGAUAUAUAGUUAUUAUUUUGUCUAAAAUUAUAUG